RNAcentral lists this unclassified non-coding RNA (370 nucleotides) under uncultured fungus. RNAcentral describes it as "partial contains small subunit ribosomal RNA, internal transcribed spacer 1, and 5.8S ribosomal RNA". The stretch from base 1 to 73 matches the Rfam family "Eukaryotic small subunit ribosomal RNA", at positions 1759 to 1831 of the family's 1831-position model. The record is from RNAcentral. Lineage: Eukaryota; Fungi.
CCAAACUUGGUCAUUUAGAGGAAGUAAAAGUCGUAACAAGGUUUCCGUAGGUGAACCUGCGGAAGGAUCAUUAUCGAAUUUGAUGGGGGUUUCGACGCUGGCCUCUUUUCUCCUUCUGUGGGGGGGAGGGAGGCAUGUGCUCACCUCUGCCAGAUCCAACUCAAUCAUCCCCUCUGUGCAUCUUGGGGGGAGGAAGGUGUCGAGAGAUUGUUUUCCUCUCCCCCCUCCUUUACAACCACAAACCUGACUGUGUCAUGAACGUCCUGCGUGCGCGUGCAUUGCCCUUUGAUGGGUCGUGCGGGCGUCGAGUUAACAUAUUACAACUUUCAACAACGGAUCUCUCGGCUCUCGCAUCGAUGAAGAACGCAGC